Molecule: RNA transcript, 638 nt
Organism: Caenorhabditis elegans
Lineage: Eukaryota; Metazoa; Nematoda; Chromadorea; Rhabditida; Rhabditidae
Gene: R07B1.6
Gene name: Non-coding transcript of protein-coding gene R07B1.6b
Exons: 6
Source: RefSeq, marked reviewed
AUGCAUUUAUUUUUUGCUCAUAUUUUAGCUGUUUCUAUUGUUGUCAGAAUAACAGACUCGUGUGCUGCCACGUCAGGAACAACUACUACAACCAUCGCCCCAACUACUUGCACAACUUGCACAACAGACCUCAUUGGAAUUGUUACUGGUAACGAUGGUGACAUGACACCAACUUCUGCAAUUACGGCGGACGCAAAUGGAUGCUCAGUCAUAACGUACACGUGUGAAAGAACUCCUGUGGUCGCAACAGACGUAGUGCUAAUCACACUGACAUCCCAACGUCUACUACUGACAUCCCAACGUCUACUACACCAAUGACAACUUCUGCUCCAACAACUACAAUGCCUCGUACAGUGUGCCAAUCUUGCACCCUAGACGCCACAACUGUCAUAAUGGUGCAUCCUUCUGCCAAACCAUUCACAAGUGACACUAUCGACGACACACAAACUUGCGCAAUUCGAACUUUGGUUUGCGAUGCUAGAUCACCUGGUGGAGACGUUCUAGUUUCGUUUAAUAGAGAUGAUUCUGGUUCUACUGGAGGUCCGAACACAUUUACAACUAUCCUUAAUUGCAAUGACGAUAUGCAAUGGACAUUGUCUGGAAUUGUGAUUACCGAGAUUGAGUGUCAAUCAGCAUAA